CACCGCGGUUAUACGAGAGACCCGAGUUGUUAGACACCGGCGUAAAGAGUGGUUAAGAUUGACUCAAAACUAAAGCCGAACGCCCUCAGAGCUGUUAUACGCACCCGAGGGUAAGAAGCCCAACCACGAAAGUGGCUUUACUCUAUCCGAAUCCACGAAAGCUAUGAUA
Molecule: ribosomal RNA, 169 nt
Filed under: Lutjanus bengalensis (Bengal snapper)
Lineage: Eukaryota; Metazoa; Chordata; Actinopteri; Lutjaniformes; Lutjanidae
Description: partial 12S rRNA
Source: RNAcentral